Molecule: long non-coding RNA, 1698 nt
Organism: Bombus huntii
Lineage: Eukaryota; Metazoa; Arthropoda; Insecta; Hymenoptera; Apidae
Exons: 3
Source: RefSeq, a predicted model, not a curated record
UUAAUCCCAAGACGUUCCUCGAUGAACAGUAUUACACAUGCUCGCAGUCAAGGAAGUCAGCUCAAGCUGUGAAAUACCGAAAUGGAUAUUUAUUAUCAGAACGGACUUUAUUUAAGGAGGUUCGACGCUCGAAGAAGACAUGAAUAAUUCAUAAUUUAAAAUAAAAUGUAACAUACUCUAAUACCAAUUAAACAUGGAAGAUUCACUACAGGAAAUUACAGAAAAAAUAAGAUACAAAUGUCCUUCUAAUAAAAUGUUAAAGUAUCAUUUAAACAACUUCGGUCCGGAAAAAGAUAUUCGUAAAUUAAAAGAAAUAUUUUUCAUUAAUAACAUUCAUCAUAAAAGACAAAUUUUUCAAGAAAAAAUUCUAUUUUUGUUCAUACAUCUUUAUUAUAUCAAACGGAUUUUGCACUACAUAUGAAAAAUGAAGUCGCGUCAUAGUACAAAACAGAAGGAAGGGAAUAUUUGAUACAAUAAAGACAAUGCCUUAAUUCCAUUUGAACUGUGAAAUGUAUAUAAUUAUAUAGUAAAUUAUUUAUUAGUAUCUUCCUUUUUAAUAUAAAAAUUCAUGGUACAUGUUCCUAAAUGCAAAUUAAUAUUAUUAAAAAUUAGAAAUAUCAUUUGUACAUUAAAAUAAUUGCUACAGUAAAUAAUUAAUUUCAACUUUUAAAUUUUUUAAAAUAAAAUAUUUUACAACACCUUAUUCAGUACACUACAAAUGAUAUUUUAUAUUUUAAUGACUUAAUAUUAAUUUGUAUAUUUUACAUGUAUAAUUUUUAUAUAUUAAAAAAAUUGGUACUAAUAAAUUUUAUGCUCAAUACAUUUCUUAUAAUAACUAAAAGUCAUCUUUCAAAUAUUAAAUAAUAAAAAAGAAAUUAAUAAAAUGUUUCAUUUGCGCUAUAGAUGCAAUAUUAGUAUUUAAGUGUGUAAAAUCGGUCAACUCACCUUAUGACUGUCCUACAUUUUUCGAUGACAUAUAUUGUAAACAAGACGAACUGUUUCCACCUAAAGUUUAUGAUAAAUAAUUGAAAAUAUUUAUUAAAUAUUUAGUUAAAUUCAUAAAAGAGAAUUUGACUGCUUCAAAUGAAUAUUAAUCUGUAGCUAAUCUCUAAUUUCUUAUAUAUAAAAGUUUUACUGUUGAUAAUAAAAUGGUAAUAUGCAAUGUAUUUGGCGUAGGUAAUCAAAUUCUGUGUGUUAUCAAACAAAAAUUAUGUACAAUGUUAGAAUAGAAGUAAAAAUUUAUAAGUAAUUGUAUCGCAGACUACAAGUCAUUAAAUUCAGGAAUCCUUUUCAUCAUUAUCAUAAUGAUGAGUGCUUUAUAAAGGAUUUUCUGAUGAAAUGACUUUAAAAAUAAUAUAACUGGUAUGUUUAAUAUUUCGGAUAUUUAGUGUUUAGUUUGAUAGUGUUUAUUUGGAUACUUAGUUUAGUGAUUAAUAAUUAUGUAACAAUUAAUUAAGUAUAAUUAUAUAUUCUCAUUAAAAAAACAUUUGUGUUUGUAUAUAAAAUAUAUUAAAAAUAACAAAAUUUCAUUUAGAAAAAGUAGAUAUUAAAAAAUAGAUCAAAUGUUGUCUUUGAGAAAAUACAUACAGUACAUAUUGAGAAACAUUAUUUUUUUAAUAAAUUGUAAAUGAGUUUUCAAACAACUGUGUGAGAUCUUCCUUUGAUUGUUCUCGUGGUGCCAAUUUUGUAAUACGAUGC